UUCGUACUUCCUUCGUCCAAAAAAGCGUGUCUCUCUAAUGGAUGUAUUUAGCAUCAAGUUAGUGUUAGAUACAUCCAUUUGAUGGACAAGUUUAGGACAAGAUUUUUCGGACGGAGGGAGUAGUAA
Non-coding RNA from Triticum aestivum (bread wheat), 126 nucleotides. The record is from Rfam. Lineage: Eukaryota; Viridiplantae; Streptophyta; Magnoliopsida; Poales; Poaceae.